AGAGUUUGAUCCUGGCUCAGGAUGAACGCUAGCGACAGGCUUAACACAUGCAAGUCGAGGGGCAGCGGGAGGAAAGCUUGCUUUUCUUGCCGGCGACCGGCGCACGGGUGAGUAACACGUAUGCAACCUGCCCAUGACAGGGGGAUAAGCGGGAGAAAUUCCGUCUAAUACCGCAUAACACCCCCGGGAGACAUCUCUCGGGAGUCAAAGGAGCGAUCCGGUCAUGGAUGGGCAUGCGGCGCAUUAGUUAGUUGGCGGGGUAACGGCCCACCAAGGCGACGAUGCGUAGGGGUUCUGAGAGGAAGGUCCCCCACACUGGUACUGAGACACGGACCAGACUCCUACGGGAGGCAGCAGUGAGGAAUAUUGGUCAAUGGGCGAGAGCCUGAACCAGCCAAGUCGCGUGAGGGAAGACGGUCCUACGGAUUGUAAACCUCUUUUGUCGGGGAGCAAUAAGGCGUACGUGUACGCAGAUGCGAGUACCCGAAGAAAAAGCAUCGGCUAACUCCGUGCCAGCAGCCGCGGUAAUACGGAGGAUGCGAGCGUUAUCCGGAUUUAUUGGGUUUAAAGGGUGCGCAGGCGGAAAGUCAAGUCAGCGGUAAAAUGUCGGGGCUCAACCCCGGCCGGCCGUUGAAACUGGUUUUCUAGAGUGGGCGAGAAGUAUGCGGAAUGCGUGGUGUAGCGGUGAAAUGCAUAGAUAUCACGCAGAACUCCGAUUGCGAAGGCAGCAUACCGGCGCCCGACUGACGCUCAUGCACGAAAGCGUGGGUAUCGAACAGGAUUAGAUACCCUGGUAGUCCACGCAGUAAACGAUGAAUACUAAUUGUCCGGGCAGAAUGAUGCCUGGGUGAUACAGCGAAAGCGUUAAGUAUUCCACCUGGGGAGUACGCCGGCAACGGUGAAAC
This 905-nucleotide ribosomal RNA is filed under the name uncultured Porphyromonadaceae bacterium. RNAcentral's name for it is "bacterial SSU rRNA". It matches the Rfam family "Bacterial small subunit ribosomal RNA", at positions 8 to 900 of the family's 1533-position model. The record is from RNAcentral. Lineage: Bacteria; Pseudomonadati; Bacteroidota; Bacteroidia; Bacteroidales; Porphyromonadaceae.